GAUGAAGAACGUAGCGAAAUGCGAUAAGUAAUGUGAAUUGCAGAAUUCAGUGAAUCAUCGAAUCUUUGAACGCACAUUGCGCCCGCCGGUAUUCCGGCGGGCAUGCCUGUACGAGCGUCAUUUCAACCAUCAAGCCCUGGGCUUGUGUUGGGGACCUGCGGCUGCCGCAGGCCCUGAAAUGCAGUGGCGGGCUCGCAAGACACACCGAGCGUAGUAGCUUACAACCUCGCUUUGGGAGUGCUGCGGGUGCUGGCCGUAAAGCGACCUUUGCGUCUUUAGCACUAGGUUGACCUCGGAUCAGGUAGGAGGACCCGCUGAACUUAAGCAUAUCAAUAAGCGGAGGA
Molecule: unclassified non-coding RNA, 344 nt
Filed under: soil metagenome
Description: partial contains 5.8S ribosomal RNA, internal transcribed spacer 2, and large subunit ribosomal RNA
Rfam family: 5.8S ribosomal RNA (bases 1-120)
Source: RNAcentral